GGGGAUGUAGCCUAGUGGCGUUUGUCUACAAUGCAAGAGGCCCUGGGUUCAAUCCCCAGUAGUGCCA
RNAcentral lists this transfer RNA (67 nucleotides) under Fukomys damarensis (Damara mole-rat). It matches the Rfam family "tRNA". Rfam says of the family: Transfer RNA (tRNA) molecules are approximately 80 nucleotides in length. Their secondary structure includes four short double-helical elements and three loops (D, anti-codon, and T loops). Lineage: Eukaryota; Metazoa; Chordata; Mammalia; Rodentia; Bathyergidae. The record is from Rfam by way of RNAcentral.